This 430-nucleotide ribosomal RNA is filed under the name Bacillota bacterium. RNAcentral describes it as "Firmicutes bacterium partial 16S ribosomal RNA". It matches the Rfam family "Bacterial small subunit ribosomal RNA", at positions 355 to 776 of the family's 1533-position model. The record is from RNAcentral. Lineage: Bacteria; Bacillati; Bacillota.
UGGGGAAUAUUGGACAAUGGGCGAAAGCCUGAUCCAGCCAUGCCGCGUGUGUGAAGAAGGCCUUUUGGUUGUAAAGCACUUUAAGCGAGGAGGAGGCUACUUAGAUUCAUACUCUAGGAUAGUGGACGUUACUCGCAGAAUAAGCACCGGCUAACUCUGUGCCAGCAGCCGCGGUAAUACAGAGGGUGCGAGCGUUAAUCGGAUUUACUGGGCGUAAAGCGUGCGUAGGCGGCUUCUUAAGUCGGAUGUGAAAUCCCUGAGCUUAACUUAGGAAUUGCAUUCGAUACUGGGAAGCUAGAGUAUGGGAGAGGAUGGUAGAAUUCCAGGUGUAGCGGUGAAAUGCGUAGAGAUCUGGAGGAAUACCGAUGGCGAAGGCAGCCAUCUGACCUAAUACUGACGCUGAGGUACGAAAGCAUGGGGAGCAAACAGG